RNAcentral lists this transfer RNA (72 nucleotides) under Rhodocyclaceae bacterium. RNAcentral's name for it is "tRNA-Arg". It matches the Rfam family "tRNA". Rfam says of the family: Transfer RNA (tRNA) molecules are approximately 80 nucleotides in length. Their secondary structure includes four short double-helical elements and three loops (D, anti-codon, and T loops). The record is from RNAcentral. RNAcentral also lists the same sequence under 1 other name. Lineage: Bacteria; Pseudomonadati; Pseudomonadota; Betaproteobacteria; Rhodocyclales; Rhodocyclaceae.
CUCCCUGUCGUUCAAUGGAUAGGACAGCCGCCUCCUAAGCGGCAAAUGCAGGUUCGAUUCCUGCCGGGGGGA